UCUCUAUGAUGAUGAACAUCAAUUAAGAGUCUGAUGUAAUCUAUUAUACUAAAUCAUGUGGAAUAUUGAGGCAUUUGUUUGGGAGAA
Small nucleolar RNA from Hordeum vulgare subsp. vulgare (domesticated barley), 87 nucleotides. Lineage: Eukaryota; Viridiplantae; Streptophyta; Magnoliopsida; Poales; Poaceae. The record is from RefSeq and is a predicted model, not a curated record.